Molecule: ribosomal RNA, 421 nt
Filed under: uncultured bacterium
Lineage: Bacteria
Description: partial 16S ribosomal RNA
Rfam family: Bacterial small subunit ribosomal RNA
Source: RNAcentral
AAUUUGGGACAAUGGGGGCAACGCUGAUCCAGCCAUCCCGCUUGUGCGAUGAUGGCCUUCGGGUUGUAAAGCACUUUUGGUAGGGAAGAAAAGGCGCCGGAUAAUACCUGGCGCCGCUGACGGUACCUGCAGAAUAAGCACCGGCUAACUACGUGCCAUCAGCAGCGGUAAUACGUAGGGUGCAAGCGUUAAUCGGAAUUACUGGGCGUAAAGCGUGCGCCGGCGGUUCGGAAAGAAAGAUGUGAAAUCCCAGGGCUUAACCUUGGAACUGCAUUUUUAACUGCCGGGCUAGAGUAUGUCAGAGGGGGGUAGAAUUCCACGUGUAGCAGUGAAAUGCGUAGAGAUGUGGAGGAAUACCGAUGGCGAAGGCAGCCCCCUGGGAUAAUACUGACGCUCAUGCACGAAAGCGUGGGGAGCAAAC